GGAAACUGCCUGGGUCUCUCGUCUCUCACAGUGACCAAAGUAGCGUGCGCCCAUUUCUAACUGAUUCAUAUUUAAGAAAAUGUCUUCUUAUUGACUUGGACGUCAUCGAGUUUAUUGCAUUGUUUUAUUGUGGAUUCUACUUGACCACUCCAUUGUUGAAAGAUCUGCUCCUGGCUUUCCUGAGUGUCAGACUGCUGAGACAUGGUAGGGAUGUGGCCACCUAUUGUAAUGUGAUGGUGAAGAUUAAAAGGAUUUGUCGGGAAAAGUGUGCUUUGGUGUACAUUCACUUUAUGCCAAAAGAGAUUGAUUACAG
Molecule: long non-coding RNA, 313 nt
Organism: Oncorhynchus tshawytscha (Chinook salmon)
Lineage: Eukaryota; Metazoa; Chordata; Actinopteri; Salmoniformes; Salmonidae
Source: Ensembl